Molecule: microRNA precursor, 116 nt
Filed under: Brassica napus (rape)
Lineage: Eukaryota; Viridiplantae; Streptophyta; Magnoliopsida; Brassicales; Brassicaceae
Description: miR6029 stem-loop (bna-MIR6029)
Source: miRBase by way of RNAcentral
AAGAGAUACACAAGCCAAGCCUCAAAUAAACAAUCCCAACAGAUUACAAAUCAUUUGGCCUUGAAUUUCAUUUGUAAUAUGUUGGGGUUGUGAUUUCAGGCUUGGCUUGUGUAUCU